GACGAACGCUGGCGGCGUGCCUAAUACAUGCAAGUAGAACGCUGAAGGAGGAGCUUGCUUCUCUGGAUGAGUUGCGAACGGGUGAGUAACGCGUAGGUAACCUGCCUGGUAGCGGGGGAUAACUAUUGGAAACGAUAGCUAAUACCGCAUAAUAGUAGAUGUUGCAUGACAUUUGCUUAAAAGGUGCAAUUGCAUCACUACCAGAUGGACCUGCGUUGUAUUAGCUAGUUGGUGAGGUAACGGCUCACCAAGGCGACGAUACAUAGCCGACCUGAGAGGGUGAUCGGCCACACUGGGACUGAGACACGGCCCAGACUCCUACGGGAGGCAGCAGUAGGGAAUCUUCGGCAAUGGACGGAAGUCUGACCGAGCAACGCCGCGUGAGUGAAGAAGGUUUUCGGAUCGUAAAGCUCUGUUGUAAGAGAAGAACGAGUGUGAGAGUGGAAAGUUCACACUGUGACGGUAUCUUACCAGAAAGGGGCGGCUAACUACGUG
This 495-nucleotide ribosomal RNA is filed under the name uncultured bacterium. RNAcentral's name for it is "partial 16S ribosomal RNA". It matches the Rfam family "Bacterial small subunit ribosomal RNA", at positions 28 to 507 of the family's 1533-position model. The record is from RNAcentral.